CUCAGGAUGAACGCUGGCGGCGUGCUUAACACGAUGCAAGUCGAACGGAAAGGCCUUGUGCUUGCACAGGGUACUCGAGUGGCGAACGGGUGAGUAACACGUGGGUGAUCUGCCCUGCACUGUGGGAUAAGCCUGGGAAACUGGGUCUAAUACCAUAUAGGACCGCAUCUUGGAUGGUGUGGUGGAAAGCUUUUGCGGUGUGGGAUGAGCCUGCGGCCUAUCAGCUUGUUGGUGGGGUAAUGGCCUACCAAGGCGGCGACGGGUAUCCGGCCUGAGAGGGUGUACGGACACAUUGGGACUGAGAUACGGCCCAGACUCCUACGGGAGGCAGCAGUGGGGAAUAUUGCACAAUGGGCGCAAGCCUGAUGCAGCGACGCCGCGUGGGGGAUGAAGGCCUUCGGGUUGUAAACUCCUUUCGCUAUCGACGAAGCCACUUGUGGUGACGGUAGGUAGAUAAGAAGCACCGGCUAACUACGUGCCAGCCGCCGC
RNAcentral lists this ribosomal RNA (489 nucleotides) under uncultured bacterium. Its description in RNAcentral is "bacterial SSU rRNA". It matches the Rfam family "Bacterial small subunit ribosomal RNA", at positions 23 to 518 of the family's 1533-position model. The record is from RNAcentral.